AGAGUUUGAUCCUGGCUCAGGACGAACGCUGGCGGCGUGCCUAACACAUGCAAGUCGAGCGAUGAAGUUCCUUCGGGAACGGAUUAGCGGCGGACGGGUGAGUAACACGUGGGUAACCUGCCUCAAAGAGGGGGAUAGCCUCCCGAAAGGGAGAUUAAUACCGCAUAAUAUUAGUAUUUCGCAUGAAGAACUAAUUAAAGGAGUAAUCCGCUUUGAGAUGGACCCGCGGCGCAUUAGCUAGUUGGUGAGGUAAAGGCUCACCAAGGCGACGAUGCGUAGCCGACCUGAGAGGGUGAUCGGCCACAUUGGAACUGAGACACGGUCCAGACUCCUACGGGAGGCAGCAGUGGGGAAUAUUGCACAAUGGGCGAAAGCCUGAUGCAGCAACGCCGCGUGAGUGAUGAAGGCCUUCGGGUUGUAAAGCUCUGUCUUUUGGGACGAUAAUGACGGUACCAAAGGAGGAAGCCACGGCUAACUACGUGCCAGCAGCCGCGGUAAUACGUAGGUGGCAAGCGUUGUCCGGAUUUACUGGGCGUAAAGGAUGCGUAGGCGGAUAUUUAAGUGAGAUGUGAAAUUCCCGGGCUUAACUUGGGAGCUGCAUUUCAAACUGGAUAUCUAGAGUGCGGGAGAGGAGAAUGGAAUUCCUAGUGUAGCGGUGAAAUGCGUAGAGAUUAGGAAGAACACCAGUGGCGAAGGCGAUUCUCUGGACCGUAACUGACGCUGAGGCAUGAAAGCGUGGGUAGCAAACAGGAUUAGAUACCCUGGUAGUCCACGCCGUAAACGAUGAGUACUAGGUGUAGGAGGGUCCAACCUUCUGUGCCGCAGUUAACACAAUAAGUACUCCGCCUGGGAAGUACGAUCGCAAGAUUAAAACUCAAAGGAAUUGACGG
RNAcentral lists this ribosomal RNA (890 nucleotides) under uncultured Bacillota bacterium. RNAcentral's name for it is "bacterial SSU rRNA". It matches the Rfam family "Bacterial small subunit ribosomal RNA", at positions 8 to 916 of the family's 1533-position model. Lineage: Bacteria; Bacillati; Bacillota. The record is from RNAcentral.